Mus musculus (house mouse) is the source of this 2509-nucleotide long non-coding RNA. RefSeq annotates it as predicted gene, 36185. Lineage: Eukaryota; Metazoa; Chordata; Mammalia; Rodentia; Muridae. The transcript has 3 exons. The record is from RefSeq and is a predicted model, not a curated record.
GGCAGGGCAGACAGGACUGAGUGGUUCUAGUAACAGCACUGUAAGGCUGUCCUUCUUCCAACCUUGUCCUUUCCAUUCUAUUCCGUUCCGUUUGACUUUCUAUAACCAGCCCAAGCUUAUGGUAGGAGGCCAAAGGAUAUUCUCAUUCCUUUCCCAAAGAUGCAGCUGCCCAAAUCCAGAAGCUACAAAGACCUUACUACCCAGUGAGCAGACUCUGCGGUUGUGAUUAGGUUAAUGACCUUAAAAUGCAGAGAUUAUCCUAAAUUACCCGAACAGGUCCAAUGUAAAGGCUCUAGUGGGGGAUAGAAAGGCAAACACGGAGGCAGGGUACAGGUGAGAAAUAUAAAUGCACUGCUUAGAAUGACUGGCUUAGAAGAUGCGGCAUCAGGCUGAGAGGGAUUGGCUCAGGGCUUGAGCUCCUGGUCUAUGGAGCCACAAAGCAAGAGAUUAAUCUCACACCAUAUAGAAAGCAGGGACCACACUAAGGGCUACAGGUUCCCUGACCUUCUCGCGAACACACACACACCCCACAUGCACAGAGAUGGUGAACCUCCAUCCACAGCUCAGAGACAGGUGACCUCGAGGCACUGGGCAAGGCACGGAAGCUGACUCCUCCAAGUCUGCAGGCAGAGCACGGCCUCAUCUCAGCUGACCUCAGUCCUAGAGAAACCCACUGGGAUCCCUGAGCCCAGAAACACAAGAGAGCAAGCGUGUGUUCUUUUACACCUUCAGCUUGUGGUGACUUGUUGCGGGGCCAACGUGAGAUGUGCGUGUCUGCCCUCUGAGCUCUGGGACAUACCUGGUUCUACCUGAACACCAGACGUGCUUUAAUUGUUUACGCCUCACACACCUCUACCUGGGGUGGAUAUGAUUUGUUAUGCUCAUGUUACACAUGAGGGGAAUGAAGCCUGGUGAGGUUGAGGGCCCUGCUGGCUGAGGAAUGGUUUCUGUUAGUCUAUAGGAAGCGGGCGACUAAGCAUGGCCGGAUUCACCGGAUGCCCAUGCUCAGGAAACAUCACCGGCAUUUCAUAGACGGGAAGGGCGUUCACAUGCAUAUGCAGUGCCCUGUGCGUUUGCUAUGGGUGUAGGUGAGGAUCUGGUGUCCCUCAGUAGCCAGUGAAGGACAAAGUCCAGCUAACAGCAAGCAAAGGUUCCAAUGCACGGGGGGGGGGGGGGGGGGGGGGACGGACGGACGGGACGACACGGGACAUGGCGGUGCCUGCUGCUGCCCCAUCUUUGUUGCCAUGGUAACAGGACUGUAGGAGCUGGUGGCUGAUGGGCACUCAGGAUCUUCCCAACAGGUUCAAGCUCUGUCUCUGCUGCCCCAGACAACUUCCCAGCCUAAAAGAGGUCAGCCUCCUGCAGCAACAUGAGACACCUGACUGACUGGCUGACAGCUCUCUCUACCCUCAAUGGCAGCCAGGAGGAACCUGCAGGACUUAUCCAGCCCCAAAUGUCACCAACAGCAGGCUGAGACACUCCAGUGUGGAGGCUGUAAGCCUCCAUUUCUCAUCUCAGGAACCACCCUGGAGGGAAAAGGAACACCAGCCCUUCCAGCAGGGGGAAGCCACUCAGCAAGCAAGCUCUAUGUGCAGAGGGCCCAAAGCGCGCAGAGAGAGGACAGCGCAAGACGGAGGGAGACAGUGGGCUUGCCCGCCCGCCCGUCCCUCUGCAGCCUAGAGAAGAUGUUUGCUUAACAUUGCAUUGGACCCAAAAAACUGUUUCGCACGUCUCACAUUUAAGAGAGAUGAUAAAAUGCAGCUUUCCCAAUGAUCUGCCUAUAAAUAAUCCAUAGAACUAAGAAAAAAAAUCAUGAAAGCUAUUAACGGAAUCGCUUAGUAUCAUAAGAGAAUCCAGUGUGUACCUCCACCCCACAGAGCAGGCUGUGGAUGGAGUGGGCCUAGGAUCCUGUGCAAGUAUCAAACCAUCCACGUGCUUCCUAGGGAAGCCCACCCCUGCCUGAGAGAUCUGUUGCCCGAUCACAGACCACAGGUGGCACGUGCUUCAGAGACAACCAAGUGUAGAGACUAGAUGCUAAAACCAGAGUCAUCGAAUUAGCUCAGCCUAGGGCCUCACCUUAAUUGUGGCCAACGGCACUAAAAAUACAUGCAACCGCAAGCUGUAACGUGGUACAAGAGAAUUUAAAAACCAACAGCACUGUUUCCAAAAAUACGCUGGCUUUUAAGACUGUACAUUCUGAAAUUUAUGAACUAACUUUAUAAGCCCAAUUUAAAAUAUCCAGUGGUGCCCGCCGCAGCCUCCUGGAAACGUGAAAGGUGCCACUCUCCCAGGGAGCUUCAGACCCUGGCUUUGGAGUGCAGCACAUUUGUAUGCCUAGAUAAGCAACCACACAUGCUCCGCAGCCGCCACCACCACCGCCACCACCCAUGGGCUCCAGAUGAAGAGAAACGUUUGCUCUAGAAUGAUUAAUACGUGGCACAAAAACCAUUUAUCAAAACCCUCACUAUUCAUAAAAAUAUAGCCAGGCAUGCGAUUUUUUUUAAUACCA